AAGUGAGAAGCAAAUAUUUGCAGCCAGUUUCGACCUGACCUUAGAUAAAACCUUUUAUCCUCACUUU
RNAcentral lists this transfer RNA (67 nucleotides) under Astalotermes sp. A JRA-2021a. Its description in RNAcentral is "tRNA-Arg". Lineage: Eukaryota; Metazoa; Arthropoda; Insecta; Blattodea; Termitidae. The record is from RNAcentral.